GGGUCGUUAGCUCAGUUGGUAGAGCAGUUGGCUUUUAACCAAUUGGUCGUAGGUUCGAAUCCUACACGGCCCACCA
The sequence is a transfer RNA, 76 nucleotides long. It matches the Rfam family "tRNA". From Rfam's summary of the family: Transfer RNA (tRNA) molecules are approximately 80 nucleotides in length. Their secondary structure includes four short double-helical elements and three loops (D, anti-codon, and T loops).